Tribolium castaneum (red flour beetle) is the source of this 2256-nucleotide long non-coding RNA. RefSeq lists it as uncharacterized. NCBI's taxonomy places the organism in Eukaryota, Metazoa, Arthropoda, Insecta, Coleoptera, Tenebrionidae. The record is from RefSeq and is a predicted model, not a curated record. The transcript has 2 exons.
AGGGAAAAGAGUGUUAUUUGUGUAAUAAUUAAAGCCGGUUUUGGGAAAACACGUCAUUUUAUGUAAAUAUUUGGUGGUUUUCUUUACUGGCAUUAUGUAAUGUUAGAAAAACGAAGACACUUAAGGACAUGGGUUACAAAGAAAAUUUAUGCAUAAGUGUGGUUUUGAAGAGGCGGAACGUAAGGUUAUUUUAUUUAUUGUUUAUUACAAAGUGUUGUAAAAGCCUUUUUCAAGGUUUAUCUUAUAGUGUUUUUUUUAUUAAGUAAUUCCGUAGUUUGUUUGACAAAUUUUAGGGGUGGUUUUGCUUGAGGCGGACCGCGGACUAAACGAUUUCAUUUACUGAAAACUUUUUUUUCCAUAAGUUAUGUGACACGUUAAAUUCGAAUUUGUUUAUUUAUUGGGUAAACAUGACUUAUUGUUUUACUUAAGUGCACUUUCCAAAUGCAGACGUCACCUUUAUUUGUCCACUAGUGAUUUUUUUCAUGAACCAUUAGCAUAUUCUUGUCACUUUCUUACGAUAUUGGAGGUCAUUUUACAAUCACUUUGAAAAAAAUCGGUGGCAUAAUUUUUUUUUAACCGGAAAUGGCCGGAAAAGACUGAUUUGAUUUAGGUUCUUUGCACAACGGUGACCUGCUAGGUUUAAUUUAAUUGAUUAACAAAUUAGUGAAUUGGAAUUGAGCGAAACUGGGCUUUAAAAGUCUGCUGUAUAAAAAAUUAAAGUUCCGACCCUUUCAUAAUAAUAAAACGUUCAAUUUUUUCUUAAUGAGUGAAUUGAUUAAAAUACCCUACGAAACAACGAAAAAAAAUUUUUCACACAAUAAUUUUAUAAAAUAAAAAUAAAUGAAAAAGUCUUGACGUGGUUAAAAUAAAUCGUACUCACCUGUUCUACUUGAUCUCUUCUCUAGACCGAAGUUGGAACUAACCAACCCACUCUUUAUUUCUGUGCAUUUUACUUUCAAAUUAUAGUUUAAUUGAAAGUGGGGGAUUUUACAAUGUCUAAAUUAAAUAUCAUGGUACGCACCGUUAACGAAGCUUGACACGAUGAUAAAUUUUGCUACUUGUCUUCGUAUAUUUUUUUCUAAAUUUAAACAUUUAUUGAUGAUUUUUCGAAUGAUAAUAAUGUGAAAGGGAAGUUGCGAUUUCGUGUCAAGGCGUUUAUCUUCAAGUGAGCAUUUUUUGCUUGCUUUGAUUAUUGUCGGGUUACUCAACUUACAAAAACCGCAAAAAUUAAACCAAUCUUUUAGCAUUAAUUAAUUAUUGCCGUUCUGCUCGAGUCGCUUUUAUUUUUGUUUGAAUCACCUUGUGAAAAUCUAACAUUGAAAACUGAAGCCGUCCUUGAUCUCAAAAAUUGCAUUUUAUUAAUUACGUGUUAAUUAUUUAAAAGUCAUCGAAGACGAAACGAGUUGGGCGAGUGCACCGAUCGGUGUCACAUUUGUGUCGCAAUCGCUUAGAAUCGAGAGACAACUUUCACGCAAUUUCAUGUAAAUUUGCUCCGUUUUUACGCAAAUCGGCAAACAUCUUCAGCGAGGGAUUUAUUGCAAGAACCUUGCAUGUAGCGGCAAUUAAUUGCUGCUUAAUGUGGCCGUUAAUAAUGGUCAUUGCAUAGAUAAAAGCCUUAAACAAGUGACAUUUGCAAGGGUAUCAUAAUUAUUGCUAUUAAGUGUUACGUGUGUUACUCAUUUACAUUUACGGCUUCCGCCCUCGGAAAAAAAUACACGUUUUGUCUUUUUAAUCGCUUUAUUUAAACGGGACUUGGAAUUGUUCUGAUGGGUGAGCCGUCGGGUCCUCGUGGUAUUAGCCCACGACGCGUGUAGCCACAGGCUGCCAUGAGCAAAUGGACCGCAGCCUCGACUGUCUUUUGGACGUCUUUGGGGGACCCUAUGGAGGGAUUCACUUCCACCAAGUCCAUCGCCCCCAGACGGCCCGUCUUGUGGAUUUGUUCCACCAGGUGGAUGCCUUCACGCAGAGUUAGGCCUCCACGGACUGCAAACAAAUAAUUCUGAAAUUAUGGAUAUUCGUAGUUGCAAACAUGUGUUUAUGCAUUUUUCUUUAUUAGUGUUAUCGCUAAUUUCCAGUGAACGCCUUUUUUGAAAUUGCUACAUGACUGGCGGAAAAUCUAUACAAAUUACUUACUGUAAUUAAGAGGUAAAAUUAAUUGCAACCCUUUGCAACUGCAGGAUUUGAUAAAAACUGUUUUUUCGUUCAGAUUGUUUAUUGGUGUUUAUGUAAUAAGAAUAAAAUGCGAUUCUUUAUCGA